UGCAUUCACUACUGUAGGUUGCUCUGGAUAAGAGUGUCUGCUAAAUGACUAAAA
This is a non-coding RNA of Salmo salar (Atlantic salmon), 54 nucleotides long. The record is from Rfam. Lineage: Eukaryota; Metazoa; Chordata; Actinopteri; Salmoniformes; Salmonidae.